GUGGAAUGUCAACUAUUCAAUAUGGAGGCGGAGGUCGAUAAGCUGGAACUGAUGGUGAGUGGAAAGUGAAGGAAACCUACUGGGUAAUUAGUGUUCUCCACCGAAGGCCUAGAAGUUCCAGAAAGCUGAUUCUGAUUUGGAUUACCUUCAGUAUAGGCUGGAAUAUGAAGUCAAGAUUAAUCACCCACACUCAGCAGGAGAGAAAAAUGCAGUUGCAAUUUUAAAAGAAUUAUCAGCAAUAAAGUCUCGAUAUCAAGCUUUAUGUGCACGCUUUAAGACAGUUUCUGUUGAGCAAAAAGAGACCAAGAGCUGCAUUUGUGCUAUUUUGAACAAGACAAUGACCAUGCUACAAGAACUACAGAAGCAAACAAACCUGGAGCUAACUCUGCUGACAGAAGAGGAGAAAGCUGUGACAGAGCGACUGAAGUCUCACGUGCCAGACGUAGAGAACGGAAUUU
Molecule: long non-coding RNA, 458 nt
Filed under: Rattus norvegicus (Norway rat)
Lineage: Eukaryota; Metazoa; Chordata; Mammalia; Rodentia; Muridae
Description: long non-coding RNA NONRATT005856
Source: RNAcentral